CUGCGGUAAUACGUAGGGGGCGAGCGUUAUUCGGAAUUACUGGGUGUAAAGGGUAUGUAGGCGGCCCUUCAAGUCGCGUGUCAAAGUCCAGUGCUCAACGCUGGGUGUGCGCGCGAUACUGACGGGCUUGAGGGCUGGAGAGGUGAGCGGAAUUCCCGGUGUAGUGGUAAAAUACGUAGAGAUCGGGAGGAACACCAGCGGCGCAGGCGGCUCACUAGACAGUUUCUGACGCUAAGAUACGAAAGCGUGGGGAGCAAA
RNAcentral lists this ribosomal RNA (258 nucleotides) under uncultured bacterium. Its description in RNAcentral is "partial 16S ribosomal RNA". It matches the Rfam family "Bacterial small subunit ribosomal RNA", at positions 515 to 772 of the family's 1533-position model. The record is from RNAcentral.